UACGUAGGGGCCUAGCGUUGUCCGGAUUUAUUGGGCGUAAAGGGCUCGUAGGCGGUCUGUUGCGUCGGGAGUGAAAACUUACAGCUUAACUGUGAGCGUGCUUCCGAUACGGGCAGACUUGAGGUAUUCAGGGGAGAACGGAAUUCCUGGUGUAGCGGUGAAAUGCGCAGAUAUCAGGAGGAACACCGGUGGCGAAGGCGGUUCUCUGGGAAUAUCCUGACGCUGAGGAGCGAAAGUGUGGGGAGCGAACAGG
Molecule: ribosomal RNA, 253 nt
Filed under: uncultured bacterium
Lineage: Bacteria
Description: partial 16S ribosomal RNA
Rfam family: Bacterial small subunit ribosomal RNA
Source: RNAcentral